AUUUUAUACCAGCUUAGUUAGAAAAAGUCAUCAAAGAAGAUCUUUUGAUGAUGUGCAACUAAAUUUUGAAGGUACCAGCAAACUUUUCACACUCAGCCCAAAGACAACAACAUGUAGGCCUACGCUUUCGCACCUCUUACAUGUGCAUAAUUUCCGCAUCAUGCAGAAGCUGACAUAAACCAAGCAGGUCUGUUGUCAGAGAUUUACAAGAUCAUUCAACCUCAAACCUUUUUUAGAAAUUAGGUUGCUUUAUUAAUUUUUUGACAAAAGAAAUCUUUGAAAACUUCUGUGUUUCUGCCUCCUUAUUCUUCUGAAUCCAAUUGUGCAGAUCUUUCCCUGGAGAUCUGCAUGCACACAAACUUGCCAUCCUAAAAUCAACAGCACACUGUGAGGUUUUUAUUCAAGCAGCAUACUGUAUGCUUCCUACAGAGGGUUAACGCUCCCGCUGAACCGGAUGUGAUUCCUCUCUGUUUCACUGUUGUCAUUGCACGGCCAAUGGCGGACGCUACCUGAGCAUUUAUCUGAAAAACGUAGGUUGCGCACAAAUAUACUUUGAAUAUCGAUCGGUUUUGUGUUUUGUCCCGUCAGCAUGGAUGUGAAUCUGACCAUCUCUCUGAUGCGGGGCCAGAUGGGCGCUGUUAUUGAGAAAGCCGUGAACGUCGCGGUGGAGACCGUGCUAGGAGAGAUGAUCCGGGUGGUCGGGCUCAAAUUUGAGGAGAUCAAACGGGAGAUGACAGCUAAAGAGAAGGAGAAUGAGAACAUCAGGAGGAUGCUGGAGACGUCCCGCUGUCAGAUGAAAACCAUGCGCAAGUACAUCAGCGUCCUGUCUGCUGAAGAGCCCAGCCGUAGACUGUAUCAGGGAGAUGGAGACAGGGCAACAACAUCCACAGGGAUGCACUGCAGAAGAGGGCCGAUGAGCAACCCCCCAAACCCCUGUCCCAGACCCAGAGUCUCUGAGCCAGCCCCUGUAACGUUAGCUGGACCCUCAUGGGUGAGACAGCAGAUGCACAUGUCCAAAGAAACAUUAAGAAGUGAGAAUCACAUUCCUGAGGUCGACAUUGAAGAGACCCAUGGGUCAACAAUUCAUAAAGAUGACGACUCCCAGCUGUCAGUGGCAGGGGUCCAAAAGCAGGUGCGUCCGAGACGUAAGGACCUUAAUCUGUAUGAAGAAUACAAACUCAGCCGGACUCUGAGAGGCCGCAACACGAACCGAGGCCGUAGUACAAAUCGACGGCGUGAGCUGGAGCAGACUCUACCGCAGGCUCUACUUGCAGACUUGGUAAGGGAACGAAGGGAAAAGACUCGUCUUCGAGUGGCCCGCUGGCGUGCCAAACGCAAAUUACAAGCCUGUCUGAUGGCCUCGCAGGCUGCGCAGUUUAGCGGCGCUCCUGUGCAGAGUUCACCUGCCCAGCGUGGAGGCCUGAUCUCCACCCGCAGGCGAGGCGGAGCGAUGGCGCAGCGCGGUGGGCUUGGAUUGAGAAGGGGACUGUCAGAGACUGGCACUUAUAAUGUGCUGCUGCAGCUGGGGCCCAGUCCUACUCAAUCAGCUUCAACGCGGGGCAUGAAUGAGGGUCUGAUGCCGUCUGGACCCCCAGCGCUAUCACAGCACAGAACCACUGCACCGAGAUCAACUUAUCAAUGA
This is a long non-coding RNA of Cyprinus carpio (common carp), 1642 nucleotides long. NCBI's taxonomy places the organism in Eukaryota, Metazoa, Chordata, Actinopteri, Cypriniformes, Cyprinidae. The record is from Ensembl.